Molecule: ribosomal RNA, 244 nt
Filed under: uncultured bacterium
Lineage: Bacteria
Description: partial 16S ribosomal RNA
Rfam family: Bacterial small subunit ribosomal RNA
Source: RNAcentral
AGAGUUUAAUCAUGGCUCAGGAUGAACGCUAGCGACAGGCCUAACACAUGCAAGUCGAGGGGCAGCGGAGAGGUAGCAAUACCUUUGCCGGCGACCGGCUCACGGGUGAGUAACACGUAUGCAAUCCACCUGUAACAGGGGGGAUAACCCGGAGAAAUCCGGACUAAUACCCCAUAAUAUGGGCGCUCCGCAUGGAGAGCCCAUUAAAGAGAGCAAUUUUGGUUACAGACGAGCAUGCGCUCCA